CAAAUGGAUGAAACCACAUUUUACCUUAAUGAAGACAGUAAUAUUUAAUAAGGUGUAGAAAAAACAGGUGAGUUGUUUGUUGCUGUGGUAAAUAAAGAAGUGUACUGAGUCUUUUGGACUACACAGAGUGAUGCAGUAUUGACUCUGAUGCUGAUUUGAGUUGUCUCAUUUUGUAUUUUUGUGCUUUGUCUUUUGUUACACAGAGUGAAAGAGAUCUUUGGUUUUGCCUUUGCUGACUGCUGAUCUGAUCGUCUCAAGUCUGGUGACCUGCUGCAGAAAACCCUCUCCCUCUAUCAUUAACAAGCAAUUCAGUCUGUCCUAUCACUCUCCCUCUCCCUGCUCCAUCUUUUUUGACAAGCCAUUCUAUCUUCUAUCAUUUCUCCGCCACGAGCUCUAUCUAAGUUGACAAGCUUGAACCUGAGUUGAAAAGCAAAACAAGUUUGCCUGAAACCAAGUUUGCCUGAAACCAAGUUUGCCUGAAACCCAAGUUUGAGAUAAACCAAGUUUGAGAUAAACCAAGUUUGAGAUAAACCAAGUUUGAGAAGAAACCCAAGUUUUUGGAAUUGAAGUUACCACAACUUCAUCGAUCUGUUUUCAGAAUUCGGAGAGAUCUCCGCUCUCACGGCUCCUUCUUUCCUGUCAUUAAACUUUCAUAUCCACUCAUUUUGCUGGAAAUUACAAGUAAAAAGUUGAAUAUACAGUAGUAGAAUUACAGUACAGUAGAACUCACUGUAGAAACUACUUACAGAGCCCUACAUUUGUCAUUUUAAUUUUGCAUUACACUUUGAAAUAAACACUGAUAGUUUGGCUUACAAGUGCAAUUUGAUAAAUUAUAUAAACUUAUAUACACCUUUUUUUUAGAUAUAUUUGUAGUAAAAUAAUCUGGUUAUUUUGUAAUUCAGACUUAUAUUCACAUAAAUAUUAAAUUUGAUUCAAAUACAUUUUUCAAGUCUGUUUCAUUGGUUAUAACAUUUGACUACAAGUUUAUACUAUUAUUAUUUAAGGACAAAGCCUUUUUUGUCACUCAGUGUAAGUAUUCAAUUACAGUUGUCAUCUAGAGGCUCUCCUGAGAACCCAGACUUCCUGUUUCCUGGCUGCUGCAGAACAUCCAGCUGAACAAUCCCCAUCGCCUGUCAUCUGAUCACCACACCAUCACAGCUCCUUAUAUUUGCUUUAAAUUUUAAAUAUCUGAAAGAUUUACACAGUCUACUUAAAAGCUAAGAUUUUUAUCAAAGCCUGUUGAUUGAUUGUUGAGAUUUAUUCUACAUAUUACUUUACAGAAGUAUAGACCUAUUUGUUAUCCAGUCUGGUUAAAAAAAAAAUAUAAGAAGUAAUAAUAUACAGUUUUUGAAAAAGUUACAAUAAAACAGACCAAAGUGUUUUCAAAGAACUUUAAAUAACUUUUAUAUUGAGUUUGUAUUUAAGUCAGCCUUUUACAUCAAUUCUGAUAAAUCUCU
RNAcentral lists this long non-coding RNA (1457 nucleotides) under Oreochromis niloticus (Nile tilapia). RNAcentral's name for it is "lncRNA (ENSONIG00000040726.1)". The record is from RNAcentral. Lineage: Eukaryota; Metazoa; Chordata; Actinopteri; Cichliformes; Cichlidae.